GUAGAUGGUGUUGUCCUGACGAGCCCAGAGUUAGAAAAGUAACACCUCGUGAUCCGUAUGUGACACAAACACAAUUCAAUGGAACAAGCACAAACAUGUAUGGACCUCAUCUUUGGACCAUUGGUAAUGUCAAUUUUCAGCUCCAAAUGGGCUCAGUCAUUUUUGAGCAAAGUAGGUACUGAAAAGAGGCUGGAACCAUGUAACCUUUACUAGUGGGAAAUCCAACAACCAAACAGAGCCCAGUUUAGCCAUGCUGAGUAGAUGCCGGUGAAAAGUUUCCCGAACUGAUCCUGCUUUAAACUUCUCGAUGACUUUCUCCCUGACCUGUCUGCCGGGUAUGUCGGUUUCCACGAUGCUGUUGGUUCACCAAAGUUCUCAGUGGUCCUUCGGAGAGCUACAGAGAUCAAAUUAAACCCACGGAGGUAAAAUGAAUGAUUAGGCAAGCUCUGAAUGCAGCUGGUUGGGGUUUUAUUCAGGGUUAUUAGAGCAAAGACCGCUGAGAUAAAUGCACACUUCUAAGAGCUUUAUAAAACGUUUUGAAUACAGUUUUAGUUCCUGUCUUAUUUGCAAUAAUGCACUACUUUUGUUUUGGUCAGUCAGAUAAAAUUACGAGACUUGUUGAAGUUUGCGGUUGUGACGUGAGAAAACGUAAAAAUACAAGGGAUGUUGCUGACUCUGGAAAAUGCUCUCUGUCCAGCCGGUUGUCUUGACGACCUGCAACCAGUAGCUUUUGAGCACGGCGCCUUAUGAGCGGACUAUCAUGCAAAACAGAGUAGCACCACUUAUGGUCAACGAUUUGAUGGAAUCAUUUGUGACUGAGAUGGGAAAGGAUGAGAAACAAAACACCUCGGCGACGAUCCUAUGAAGCUGUUUAACCUCCCUGCUAAAAAAAAACAAAUAUGGUGACCGGAUUGAGACAAAUAUCAGUUAUUCUGGCAGGAAAUUUGUCACUGAAUAUGUCAAAGUGAGAGCGUCUCUCUUGCAGGCAGAGCCAGAAGAAAAGACAAAAGUUUUCACAUGAUGACAUCGGUUAAAUUCAAAGCCGACUUGAGUUUUUUUUUUUUUUUUUUUUUUUUUUUAAACAACUUGUCUGUGGUUCGUCUAAUUGAGAAGGAGUUGUGAGACUUUCAGAAAUCCUGGCUCCGCGCCACGCACUCCACUGUACUCCACGAAGAUUGAGUCAUGAAUUCAUUUAUCAGAGCUUGCAAAUGCAUUUGAAUCUUAUAUGAGGGAUUCUCUUUCUUCCCUCAAACGGUUGGAAGUAAUGUAAUCCCAGCCUCUUUUUAUUAUAUCUGAGUAACCCUAAAAAAGAGAGAGAAAAAGCAAGCUCUGCCACUGAAUUAAUAAAAAUGUGCGUUGUAGCCUCCAGUGAGAACUUGAUGUGAAAUAUUUGCAUUACCAUAUGGCUCAGCUUUGAACAGGUUCAAGUGAUCCUUCUUUUUUUUUUUUUUUUCUUGUUCGACGCUACAGCGUUUGUAACGUACAGAAAGCAGAUCUAGCUGCUGCAUGAAUCGGACAGAAAGGCCUCUUGUCUCCCAGCUUUCUUGGCUUCCUCUCAGUUGUCAUCUCCCUCAGGUUGCACCCAGUCUAGACCUGAGAAAGCCUUUGACCCCUGGAGUCUUUCGGUGCCAGUUAAUGUUCCUGGCGUGGCGGACAUGUUUAGCACCUGCUGGGGAGCUGCUUGACCUGAAUUACUCCCGCACAGAGGCAGCUGCUGUGGCUGGAGCUUAAAAAUAUCACACCUUUCCCUCUCAUUAGGAAAGGGAACUGUUGAUUAUGAUGAUGAUGACAUAUUGUGCUUACCUGAAGAAUGGUUCCUCUCAGGGGACAGCUGUGAGAAAUGGUGGCCAAAUGUUGUGAACUUCGUUCAGCUUCGGUUUGUGGCUGGUGUCCCCCGACCCCGUGACCCUGCAUCGAAAAGCAGGUGUAGACCAUGGAAAAUAAAAGGAUGGGUCAUAUCCAUCCACAAAGGGCCGUACAGAACGAUUCAGGCCUCUUGAACUUUCCCACAUUUUGUCAUGCAAUUUCAUUUUAUCUGUUUGAAAGGAGCAGGUAGAAGAUACAAGACCUUUCCUGCCCAUUUCAUACUCAACAUUUAAAUCUCCAAACACCAUAGUAACUUAAAUUACUUCCACAUUACAUGCCACUUAAAUCUCACAUUCUCAUCCUUAAAUGUACAAUUACUAAAAAAUUUUUAAAUAUCAUCAAUAGCAGUUUUGGUCUUUGAAACCUGCCAGCAAGGACACGUUAUGAGUUAGUGUCAUUUAUGAGAGACAUACUGUAAAUGAUGUAACGUACCAGGUCAAUAUGUCAUGUUAUUCUGGAACUAGACUGUCUAGAAAUAUAAAGAUAAAGGGCAGCAAAUGACUAAAUGAUAAUCAAAUCAAUGAUUUAAUUUAAAGAAACAUUUUUCCAACAGUAAGCCAGAUGUUUCCACUGUUUUGCUGCUGAAAUGUUCAGUUUUUGCAUAAUUUUUGUAUUUUCUGUAGCAUAUAUUGUUCAGCUUUCUCAGACAAGGUCUCUGUUAGGUUAAUAUGCUUCUCCUACUUGACCUUCGACCUGUACAUGAGUUGUCCAGGGUGUACCCAUGUUUUUCAGUAAUUGAAUUUUGGAGAUAGAGAGCAAGUCCCUGAAAGGAUUAAAGCGACAUACGAAGUAGCCCGUUAGCAUCCAGAGCAACAUGUUAGCAUGCAGAUAUCGGUUGGUGAGCUAUCGUCGUGUUCAUAAAGAAAUCAAGCCGAGCUGAACUGAAGCCAGUGGGGGGCAUCCCUGGGCAUACCACCAGCAGAGACCGUCGCGGCUCUUGUUUCUGUUUUCAUCUUCGCCACCCACCUUCUGUGUUGCAUCUCAGCAGAACAGCUUGGAAGAUAUGAAUGGCGUUUCAGUCAUCUGACCCCUGGAGGGCAGCGCUUCAGAGAUCCACAAGCUUUUUGUCCGUAUAUUUAGACGAAAGCUAAAGAGCCUUCUCACCUCUUCCUGCAUUAUGAAGUGUUGCUAUUAAUAAACUCACUACGCCUCACCACUUCUCCCUCUCCAUUCACUCUCUGAAACCGGGCCUAAAGCUGAGGAUGAAUGAACGGAGCAACAGGGGGCCACCUGGGGGCGGUUGGAGGUCAUGAUAUUGAGAUAGUGUCUGCUGCUGUGUCCAUGCAAAUGCUCACCCCUCCUCCACGGAGUGAUAGGGAAAGAGAGAGAGAGGCAUCUAUUCCACAAGCCACAAUCGUUGCACGGAGACCUCCAUGGCUAAU
This is a long non-coding RNA of Poecilia latipinna (sailfin molly), 3248 nucleotides long. RefSeq lists it as uncharacterized. The transcript is spliced from 2 exons. The record is from RefSeq and is a predicted model, not a curated record. Lineage: Eukaryota; Metazoa; Chordata; Actinopteri; Cyprinodontiformes; Poeciliidae.